Long non-coding RNA from Ornithodoros turicata, 418 nucleotides. RefSeq lists it as uncharacterized. NCBI's taxonomy places the organism in Eukaryota, Metazoa, Arthropoda, Arachnida, Ixodida, Argasidae. The transcript has 2 exons. The record is from RefSeq and is a predicted model, not a curated record.
CUCUCUCAGACUGGCGCCGUGCCUCACCGAAAGAUGAUCUAGUAGACCGUGGCGUUCGUGGUUUGACCGUUUGGCGCCGCCAUUCAAACACAUGUAGUGAACGGUGCAGGAGUGUGCUGGGAAUACUCAAUAUGCGUCCACGUAAACUACAUCGAAGACGGCAUGGAAGCGAUACUUCACGCAAGUUUAUCACGGAAUCUGAGACGACAUAGGAAGGCCUCAACAAGAACAUUAAACUGGCGUUUUGGUAUGCUGAGCACAGCAGCGUGGCUGGAACCGGGCAGAAGUAAAAAUGCGUGGAGGUGCAUAUAAACGAUAUCUUAAUGAGAGGCCCUCAGAUCCACCGAAGGCUACAAGGCUGAGUUCUUCUGUUCUGCACAUUUUUUUUUUAUUAUUUAAAUAAAGAGUGAACAGAUUA